GUUAUCGGAUUACUGGGCGUAAAGCGCAUGCAGGUGGAUGAUUAAGUCAGAUGUGAAAGCCCGGGGCUCAACCUCGGAAUAGCAUUUGAAACUGGUCAUCUAGAGUACUGUAGAGGGGGGUAGAAUUUCAGGUGUAGCGGUGAAAUGCGUAGAGAUCUGAAGGAAUACCGGUGGCGAAGGCGGCCCCCUGGACAGAUACUGACACUCAGAUGCGAAAGCGUGGGGAGCAAACAGGAUUAGAUACCCUGGUAGUCCACGCCGUAAACGAUGUCUACUUGGAGGUUGUGGCCUUGAGCCGUGGCUUUCGGAGCUAACGCGUUAAGUAGACCGCCUGGGGAGUACGGUCGCAAGAUUAAAACUCAAAUGAAUUGACGGGGGCCCGCACAAGCGGUGGAGCAUGUGGUUUAAUU
This 410-nucleotide ribosomal RNA is filed under the name uncultured bacterium. RNAcentral's name for it is "bacterial SSU rRNA". It matches the Rfam family "Bacterial small subunit ribosomal RNA", at positions 540 to 951 of the family's 1533-position model. The record is from RNAcentral.